AAAAACACAGCACUGUGCAAAAUCGUAAGAUGACGUAUACGGUGUGACGCCUGCCCGGUGCCGGAAGGUUAAUUGAUGGGGUUAGACUUCGGUCGAAGCUCUUGAUCGAAGCCCCGGUAAACGGCGGCCGUAACUAUAACGGUCCUAAGGUAGCGAAAUUCCUUGUCGGGUAAGUUCCGACCUGCACGAAUGGCGUAAUGAUGGCCACGCUGUCUCCACCCGAGACUCAGUGAAAUUGAAAUCGCUGUGAAGAUGCAGUGUACCCGCGGCUAGACGGAAAGACCCCGUGAACCUUUACUACAGCUUGGCACUGAACAUUGACCCUACAUGUGUAGGAUAGGUGGGAGGCUUUGAAGCACGUACGCCAGUAUGUGUGGAGCCGUCCUUGAAAUACCACCCUUGUAGUGUUGAUGUUCUAACGUCGACCCCUUAUCGGGGUUGCGGACAGUGCCUGGUGGGUAGUUUGACUGGGGCGGUCUCCUCCCAAAGAGUAACGGAGGAGCACGAAGGUGGGCUAAUCACGGUUGGACAUCGUGAGGUUAGUGCAAUGGCAUAAGCCCGCUUGACUGCGAGAAUGACAAUUCGAGCAGGUGCGAAAGCAGGUCAUAGUGAUCCGGUGGUUCUGAAUGGAAGGGCCAUCGCUCAACGGAUAAAAGGUACUCCGGGGAUAACAGGCUGAUACCGCCCAAGAGUUCAUAUCGACGGCGGUGUUUGGCACCUCGAUGUCGGCUCAUCACAUCCUGGGGCUGAAGUCGGUCCCAAGGGUAUGGCUGUUCGCCAUUUAAAGUGGUACGCGAGCUGGGUUUAGAACGUCGUGAGACAGUUCGGUCCCUAUCUGCCGUGGGCGUUGGAAGAUUGAAGGGGGCUGCUCCUAGUACGAGAGGACCGGAGUGGACGAACCUCUGGUGUUCGGGUUGUGUCGCCAGACGCAUUGCCCGGUAGCUAAGUUCGGAAUCGAUAACCGCUGAAAGCAUCUAAGCGGGAAGCGAGCCCUGAGAUGAGUCUUCCCUGAUACUUUAAGUAUCCUAAAGGGUUGUCGGAGACUACGACGUUGAUAGGCAGGGUGUGUAAGUGCUGUGAGGCAUUGAGCUAACCUGUACUAAUUGCCCGUGAGGCUUAACCAUACAACACCCAAGGGGUUU
Molecule: ribosomal RNA, 1142 nt
Filed under: Vibrio parahaemolyticus
Lineage: Bacteria; Pseudomonadati; Pseudomonadota; Gammaproteobacteria; Vibrionales; Vibrionaceae
Description: partial 23S ribosomal RNA
Rfam family: Bacterial large subunit ribosomal RNA
Source: RNAcentral